GAUCCUCUUCCUUCCCCAGAGACACCACUCUCAAGAAUCUGAUAAUCAAGCCUGGGAGAUAUGUCACCAGCAGAUCUUUCCUAAAAGAAACUUCUGAAGAAUCUAUGUCAAAAUGAGGAAAAAUGAUACCAGAAAGAAGGUCUGAGAUGCAGGAAAAAAUGGCAGGGGCUCAUUGAUCCAUCAAACUGGAACCCUGACCCUGGGC
Long non-coding RNA from Suricata suricatta (meerkat), 205 nucleotides. RefSeq lists it as uncharacterized. The record is from RefSeq and is a predicted model, not a curated record. The transcript has 3 exons. Lineage: Eukaryota; Metazoa; Chordata; Mammalia; Carnivora; Herpestidae.